This 480-nucleotide ribosomal RNA is filed under the name uncultured bacterium. Its description in RNAcentral is "partial 16S ribosomal RNA". It matches the Rfam family "Bacterial small subunit ribosomal RNA", at positions 28 to 523 of the family's 1533-position model. The record is from RNAcentral.
GACGAACGCUGGCGGCGUGCCUAACACAUGCAAGUCGAGCGAGUGAAUCUCCUUCGGGAGUGAAGCUAGCGGCGGACGGGUGAGUAACACGUGGGCAACCUGCCUCAUAGAGGGGAAUAGCCUUUCGAAAGGAAGAUUAAUACCGCAUAAGAUUGUAGCUUCGCAUGAAGUAGCAAUUAAAGGAGCAAUCCGCUAUGAGAUGGGCCCGCGGCGCAUUAGCUAGUUGGUGAGGUAACGGCUCACCAAGGCGACGAUGCGUAGCCGACCUGAGAGGGUGAUCGGCCACAUUGGGACUGAGACACGGCCCAGACUCCUACGGNAGGCAGCAGUGGGGANUAUUGCACAAUGGGGGAAACCCUGAUGCAGCAACGCCGCGUGAGUGAUGACGGCCUUCGGGUUGUAAAGCUCUGUCUUCAGGGACGAUAAUGACGGUACCUGAGGAGGAAGCCACGGCUAACUACGUGCCAGCCGCCGCCGUAA